GGUGUGUUGGCUUAGUCAGUGGAGCGUCCGUCUCACAACCGGGAGAUCGUGGGUUUGAACCCCGGACGCGUCA
Molecule: non-coding RNA, 73 nt
Organism: Strongylocentrotus purpuratus (purple sea urchin)
Lineage: Eukaryota; Metazoa; Echinodermata; Echinoidea; Camarodonta; Strongylocentrotidae
Source: Rfam